UGUUCAUUUAUGCUCACAAUCACUCCUUAUAAGAAGUAUACACUUUUUUGUUUUAAACUUAUUAGAAAAAUAGAUUUAUUGAUGAAUAAAACUAAAAACAGACCUGACCUACAAAAAUUUCCAAAAUAUUUGGUCUAAUAGUUUAUCAGUAUUUAUGAUUAUAAACCAGAUAUAAGGGAAUGCAUAACAGCUUUGAUAAAAACAAUAAUGUUGAAUUUUUUGGCCAAAACUUUUUUUGUCCUAAGCCACCUUACAUAUAUAUAUUAACAUAAAUAUUGUGUGUGUUGUUCUUUCUGAUUAGAUGAUAUCUUGAAUUCCAUGUAUCAUUAUAACAAAUAUCAUCACUUUUGUUAUGAAUAAACAAAAAUGAAAAUAAAAGAAGGGAAAUAAAAAUAUAUGUGUGCUUCCUAUUUCUUUUGUAAAAAAAAAGGGUUGUAUCUAUUUUUGAACAAUAAUUCUAAAUCCUUUUCACAGUCUUGAUUCCAUAAAUAUAAGUUUCAACAGAAAAGUUUUAAUAUCAGUUUGUUUGAAAAAUAGAACAAAUUUUACAAAAUGCUGAGAACUUUCAGGCUUGAAAGGGUUCAUCAUAGAUUGGUUAAGAAAUCCGAAACACACACAUAUUUUUAUAUGGCCUCACUUUAAAAUUG
RNAcentral lists this long non-coding RNA (647 nucleotides) under Mytilus galloprovincialis (Mediterranean mussel). The record is from RNAcentral. Lineage: Eukaryota; Metazoa; Mollusca; Bivalvia; Mytilida; Mytilidae.